AACGUAGGGGGCGAGCGUUAUCCGGAAUCACUGGGCGUAAAGGGCGUCUAGGCGGUCCAGUAAGUCCUGCGUGAAAGCUCCCGGCUCAACUGGGAGAGCGCGUGGGAGACUGUUGGGCUAGAGACUCGGAGAGGGGUGUGGAAUUCCCGGUGGAGUGGUGAAAUGCGUUGAUAUCAUCAGGAACACCAGUGGCGAAGGCGACCCACUGGGUCAUUUCUGACGCUGAGGUACGAAAGCUAGGGUAGCGAACGGG
This 253-nucleotide ribosomal RNA is filed under the name uncultured bacterium. RNAcentral's name for it is "partial 16S ribosomal RNA". It matches the Rfam family "Bacterial small subunit ribosomal RNA", at positions 524 to 776 of the family's 1533-position model. The record is from RNAcentral.